UUCUUCUUCUUGGUUAGCAGUACUGAGAACAAACAUGGAAGUCAACAAGACUUGGAAUUGUUUCUGUAGUUGUCAUCUUGUUUAUAGGAUCGUCACCACACUGAUCAAAAUAAGAAAAGAAUAAGUUAAAUGAAGUCAAAGAUCUUUCUAUCCAAAAACAUACUAAAUGAUAAGGAAAUUAUCUAUAUAGUUGAGUAUCUUUUAAUGUUAUUAGCUUAUGAAAAGGGCAUUUUUCUAUCAUGACUAUAAAUUGGUAAACUUAUUAUAGCCAGACAAAGAAGUCAUCUGACAGCCACUUAAACUACACAAAUAGAUAAAAAGAAAUUGAUACAUCAUUAAUAAUAAUAAUAAUAUAUAAAUCCAUGCUAAUUUUGCUUAAAGAAAGACCAACAGAAAGUGGUCACUUUUUAUUGUGGUUAUCAAAACAAAAAGGCAUGGUGUGUAUUUAAAAAUUUAUUCCUGCAUCUCACUGGGAAAACAUGCAAACAUUUGGUGUUUGAUUAGUAACAGGGUGAUCUCAGAAGAUAUACCUUGAUUGACCUCUAAGAGUUGCCUCACUUUGUCGAAAUAGAGCUACUGCACCGGAGCAAUGAUCUGAUGUAUCAUGUAUCUAGUCUUUCAACUACAUUCAUAUAAAUAGGAAGUAGCGACAUC
This 654-nucleotide long non-coding RNA is filed under the name Solanum lycopersicum (tomato). RNAcentral's name for it is "long non-coding RNA (SLYC_LNC000055)". The record is from RNAcentral. Lineage: Eukaryota; Viridiplantae; Streptophyta; Magnoliopsida; Solanales; Solanaceae.